AUGAGAGAAAAAGAAACACGUUAGUGUUCAUUUGCUAAUGAAAGGACUCUCUCCAGUUUUAAUUGGAUUAUUUUAGACCUGAAGGCUUCUUCUUCUGGGAAGGAGAGAUCCUGCACACUGAGCUCGUUGGAGGACACAGCUGCCACAAUGCAGAUCGUGGAACUGAAGUACUGCAACAUAAAGCACCGCAAUGAUGGUAGAAGUGGAACGAAACAGAGGAGAACUCGUACCCACAGGCCACAUAAAUCAAACCCAGAGAUGACAGAGUAGAAACUGAAGCCAAGCUGCACACAAACUACAGCUGACUGGAUGUGCAACAGUCUGGCCUCCCGGGGUCUCCUGUUGAAUUCGCUCUCUGCCUGUUCUCACUCCUCCAGCUGGUCUGUGGAGAGCGAGCAGCUGCGACAGGUCACCCCUGAGGCUGGAGGAAGGGCUCUCCUGUGGGUGAAGUGUCC
This 455-nucleotide long non-coding RNA is filed under the name Lepisosteus oculatus (spotted gar). Its description in RNAcentral is "lncRNA (ENSLOCG00000021327.1)". The record is from RNAcentral. Lineage: Eukaryota; Metazoa; Chordata; Actinopteri; Semionotiformes; Lepisosteidae.